CCUGUAAGCCGGGCUUAUUAUUUUCUCCCUUAAAAUAAUUUUUUAGGCCCCGGGCCGAGUUGUUUAAAAAACGACGGGGGGGCCUAAAAGACCCGUCUUUUCUUUUAAGAUUCCAUAAAAACAGGGGGUAGACGUCCUUUAUUUUUCUCUUCACUAAAAACAGGUAUUAAAAGAGCCCUCCCUAAACCUAAAUAAAAUGGCAGUGGUUUAUUCCAAGCAGAGCGGUUUGAGCCUUUAUGGGAUACCCCUCUUUUUAUCUUACUGGUGUUUAUUUUUUGUGUGGCUGUUUUAAAAAAGGCCCAGCCCUGCUUUUAGCUCAAGUUUUAUGAAGCCAAACACCAGGGAGCUUUAGACACACUCCUUGAAUUAUUACAAACAUCUUUAGUCCUCAAGUAUUGGAUUUGCCAGUAAGGCCCUAAUUAAUAUGCGGACUUGAAUUUGUUAUAAACCAGGUACAUAUUGUCCGUCACUCUCCCCGG
Molecule: ribosomal RNA, 479 nt
Filed under: Metridia asymmetrica
Lineage: Eukaryota; Metazoa; Arthropoda; Copepoda; Calanoida; Metridinidae
Description: partial 12S ribosomal RNA
Source: RNAcentral